CCAAUGGGUCACACGGGUCGAUCCCAGCCAGAUUAUCACCAUGGCCUAGCCCCUGUCGAUCUGUCCGCCUCCAGGUGCCCCCGAGGCCCCGAGGCCCCGAAUCUCCCGGACCAUCUUCGUCGCCGCCCUCGACCAUCUCCGCCGCCACCCUCUACCGGUGGACGCCCUCGAUCAUCGCUGCAGCUGCCGAACGCCCCCGACCAUCUCUGGUGACUGCUGCAGCCGGACGCCGGACACCCCCGACCACCUGUGUCAGUGUCGCCGUUGGACGCCCAAGAGUAUCUUUGCUGUUGCCGUCAUUUCGCCUCGAGUAUGUCAUCCCGGACGCUGUCGAGCACGCCAUCCCGGUUGCCGUUCUCUCCAACUUGUUGGACGUAAGAAUUUCUUGCUGGUUUCCUUCAAGAUCCCGUUCACCUGCGCGAUUCCAAGACCGAGUUGAAUCUCAUGUUAUGCUCCUGCGUGAUUCCAAGACCCUGUUGAAUCUCAACUUCUAGCAGGAACACGCCAAACCAGAUCUAACUUAUUGAUGGAUGUCGUGCCGUGGUUGAGACAAUGAAGACUGAAGCUUUUUGCGGCAAUUGAUGUUAACCUCGAGUAGAUGAUGAAGCAAAAAGAUGUCAGCUUUCUCUAUAAUUUAGUGAAGUUUUGAAAUGUAAUCGCUGCUCCUUGAAAGAUGUAGCUUGAUGCUCAUUAAACCUGUAAUAUCGUCAACGAAUUUGAUUGUGAUGUACUGGCUGUGAAAAGAGUUGAAAAUGGACUUAUGCUUCCUUUGUAACUUCUAUUUAAUUCAUAUUAUCAUGUCUGCUCAUUA
Molecule: long non-coding RNA, 811 nt
Organism: Hordeum vulgare subsp. vulgare (domesticated barley)
Lineage: Eukaryota; Viridiplantae; Streptophyta; Magnoliopsida; Poales; Poaceae
Exons: 2
Source: RefSeq, a predicted model, not a curated record